ACGGUAGCAGGUCUUCGGAUGCUGACGAGUGGCGGACGGGUGAGUAACGCGUAGGAAUCUGCCUAUUAGUGGGGGACAACGUGUGGAAACGCACGCUAAUACCGCAUACGCCCUACGGGGGAAAGGAGGGGAUCUUCGGACCUUUCGCUAAUAGAUGAGCCUGCGUAGGAUUAGCUAGUUGGUAGGGUAAAGGCCUACCAAGGCGACGAUCCUUAGCUGUUCUGAGAGGAAGAUCAGCCACACUGGGACUGAGACACGGCCCAGACUCCUACGGGAGGCAGCAGUGGGGAAUAUUGGACAAUGGGCGAAAGCCUGAUCCAGCAAUACCGCGUGUGUGAAGAAGGCCUUAGGGUUGUAAAGCACUUUCAAUUGGGAGGAAAAAACAAGGGUCAAUACCCCUUGUCUUGACAUUACCUUUAGAAGAAGCACCGGCUAACUCCGUGCCAGCAGCCGCGGUAAUACGGAGGGUGCGAGCGUUAAUCGGAAUUACUGGGCGUAAAGAGUGCGUAGGCGGCUCGUUAAGUCAGAUGUGAAAGCCCUGGGCUCAACCUGGGAACUGCAUUUGAAACUGGCGAGCUAGAGUUGAGUAGAGGUAAGUGGAAUUUCAGGUGUAGCGGUGAAAUGCGUAGAUAUCUGAAGGAACACCAGUGGCGAAGGCGACUUACUGGACUCAAACUGACGCUGAGGUACGAAAGCGUGGGUAGCAAACAGGAUUAGAUACCCUGGUAGUCCACGCCGUAAACGAUGUCAACUAGCCGUUGGUCCUAUAUACAGGAUUAGUGGCGCAGCUAACGCAUUAAGUUGACCGCCUGGGGAGUACGG
Molecule: ribosomal RNA, 822 nt
Filed under: uncultured organism
Description: bacterial SSU rRNA
Rfam family: Bacterial small subunit ribosomal RNA
Source: RNAcentral